RNAcentral lists this long non-coding RNA (590 nucleotides) under Mus spicilegus (steppe mouse). Its description in RNAcentral is "lncRNA (ENSMSIG00000023439.1)". Lineage: Eukaryota; Metazoa; Chordata; Mammalia; Rodentia; Muridae. The record is from RNAcentral.
CCAAGAAGAGCUAAUGAGAUGGACACCGGUGACUUGGGAGUCCUGCCAGUCCUCCGAGUGCCCAGCAGAUCAAACAUUGCUUCUGGCUAUAAAGGUCUGAGGUGUCAAGCUGCGUACAGCUCACUUCCAGGAAACUCAUGUUGAAAGUGGAACAAGCCAAGUAAGCAAGUCCAAGUGAAGAGAGGGAUGCUGGAAAGAAAUUGGUCCAUGGUGCAAGAUGCCAACUCUAAACACUGCCAAACCAAGUGAAAUCCAUCACAGGAAUAUAGCUCUACAAUUAGAGGUGAAAGAAAAAAGAAAUACCUGGCAGAUGAUGGCUAUGAGAGCCUACACGAGAGGCAACUUUUUCAGGAAGAAUGAAGAACAACAACCAUGUGAGGCAGAAGAGUUAAGCCCUGCAAGCGCUAUUCUGCUGUGAGCGAGGAUGCAGCAGAGAGAAGAUGGUAGAGAUGGAAGAGUGAGGUUCUGGUUUGAAUCCUGCUAUUGAAUACUCAAGUGGCCUUAACCUCUCUGAACUUCAGUUUCUUCAUUGUCAAAUGGAGAUAAUCAGCUUAUUGUCAGUAUUGAACUGCCUUGUGCCAUGAUAAGAU